GUCCCGAAAAAGCAACUUACUCCGAAAGGGUAGGGCGCAAAUUGGUAAGCCUGCAGCCAGGGUAUCGGUAUGGCUGUGCCAAUGCCGAA
RNAcentral lists this non-coding RNA (89 nucleotides) under Cyanothece sp. RNAcentral's name for it is "c-di-GMP sequence". It matches the Rfam family "c-di-GMP-I riboswitch aptamer". Rfam says of the family: GEMM was predicted in a large-scale screen for bacterial structured RNA regulatory elements. Lineage: Bacteria; Bacillati; Cyanobacteriota; Cyanophyceae; Gomontiellales; Cyanothecaceae. The record is from RNAcentral.